This 497-nucleotide ribosomal RNA is filed under the name uncultured bacterium. RNAcentral describes it as "partial 16S ribosomal RNA". It matches the Rfam family "Bacterial small subunit ribosomal RNA", at positions 28 to 507 of the family's 1533-position model. The record is from RNAcentral.
GAUGAACGCUGGCGGCGUGCCUAAUACAUGCAAGUCGAGCGAACGGACGAGAAGCUUGCUUCUCUGAUGUUAGCGGCGGACGGGUGAGUAACACGUGGAUAACCUACCUAUAAGACUGGGAUAACUUCGGGAAACCGGAGCUAAUACCGGAUGAUAUUUUGAACCGCAUGGUUCAAAAGUGAAAGACGGUCUUGCUGUCACUUAUAGAUGGAUCCGCGCUGCAUUAGCUAGUUGGUAAGGUAACGGCUUACCAAGGCAACGAUGCAUAGCCGACCUGAGAGGGUGAUCGGCCACACUGGAACUGAGACACGGUCCAGACUCCUACGGGAGGCAGCAGUAGGGAAUCUUCCGCAAUGGGCGAAAGCCUGACGGAGCAACGCCGCGUGGGUGAUGAAGGUCUUCGGAUCGUAAAACUCUGUUAUUAGGGAAGAACAUAUGUGUAAGUAACUGUGCACAUCUCGACGGUACCUAAUCAGAAAGCCACGGCUAACUACGUG